This is a long non-coding RNA of Coturnix japonica (Japanese quail), 998 nucleotides long. RefSeq lists it as uncharacterized. The record is from RefSeq and is a predicted model, not a curated record. NCBI's taxonomy places the organism in Eukaryota, Metazoa, Chordata, Aves, Galliformes, Phasianidae.
AUGAUAAGGAAGAAUGUAACACAAACUUCUUGUGUUUGCCUUGCAAGCCCCAGUUAUUAUGUCUGCUCCUGCUCAAAAUAGCUUUUCAUUUUUCCUCAGGCGAACCCAGUCAGGAGCUCAGAUCUGCUGCCCAAGCACGGGUCUGUGCAGCUCACAGCCAGCGGCAGCCCACAGCACAGCAGACACCCAGCCACGUUAACACCUUCACCAAAUUGCUGGCAAAACAAGCUGCUGGAAAGUAUCCUGGAGCAGGUCUUGCAGCCACAGCUCCUCCUAAACAACUCCCUCAGCAGUGAACGGAGCUGGGUGGGAACCCCACAGAGAAGACAGAGGCCAAGUAAAAGAAAGCAAGGAGCACGGUGAGCACAAGCUUUCUUAUUUAUUUCUCAAAGCUGAAGCAUUCUUCUGAAGGCAGGACGUGCACCAAACCACAACCAGCCCCGUAAAGAUGCAUAAGGAGGCUACACCCCACCCGUGCUUUAGCAGGAGGGUGGGCUCGGUGAUCUCCAGAGGUCCCUUCCAACCCCUACAUCCUGUGACUGUGAUUCUUAAAAACGCCAUCCACACAGGAUCCACCAGGAUCCGAUGCUACGCGACUCCCGUUCACCUCCCCGGAGCCUUAUACAGGCAGCGGGGCUCCGCGCCGCCUCAGCCCGUACCGUAGCCCCGGGACACCCGCGGGGCUCGGAGCCCACCCGUCGCGGUGCUGAGCUCCGUUACCUUGUAGUGGCGGAAGCCGUCCAGCUGCCGGCCGCUCACAUAACGCCGCCGCCACAUCGCGUCGAGCCACGCCGGGCGGGGAAGGCAGAGCCGGGGCUGGAUGGGGCUGGGAGGGCCGGGGGCGGGCGCAGGGCGGGGAUUAAAAUCCAUUACUCAGCCCUGUGAGCUUUGCCAGGCACCGAGUGCAUUGCGAGAGCCGGUGUUAUUUUACAAGCUGUGCAGAUUUGAUAGGAAUUUAUAUACAAGUUAAAAUCGCUAAGUGCAAGCUGUAUACAAUA